CCUACGGGUGGCUGCAGUGAGGAAUAUUGGUCAAUGGACGAGAGUCUGAACCAGCCAAGUAGCGUGAAGGAUGACUGCCCUAUGGGUUGUAAAUUUCUUUUUUAAAGGAAUAAAGUGCGGCACGUGUGCCUUUUUGUACGUACUUUAUGAAUAAGGAUCGGCUAACUCCGUGCCAGCAGCCGCGGUAAUACGGAGGAUCCGAGCGUUAUCCGGAGUUAUUGGGUUUAAAGGGAGCGUAGAUGGGUUGUUAAGUCAGUUGUGAAAGUUUGCGGCUCAACCGUAAAAUUGCAAUUGAUACUGGCAGUCUUGAGUACAGUUGAGGUAGGCGGAAUUCGUGGUGUAGCGGUGAAAUGCUUAGAUAUCACGAAGAACUCCGAUUGCGAAGGCAGCUUACUAAACUGCAACUGACAUUGAUGCUCGAAAGUGUGGGUAUCAAACAGGAUUAGAUACCCCGGUAGUC
This 460-nucleotide ribosomal RNA is filed under the name uncultured bacterium. RNAcentral's name for it is "partial 16S ribosomal RNA". It matches the Rfam family "Bacterial small subunit ribosomal RNA", at positions 338 to 795 of the family's 1533-position model. The record is from RNAcentral.